This 21-nucleotide non-coding RNA is filed under the name Caenorhabditis elegans. The record is from RNAcentral. Lineage: Eukaryota; Metazoa; Nematoda; Chromadorea; Rhabditida; Rhabditidae.
UGUGAUUGUGAUUUCCGAAUU